RNAcentral lists this transfer RNA (62 nucleotides) under Parathailocyba orla. RNAcentral's name for it is "tRNA-Arg". Lineage: Eukaryota; Metazoa; Arthropoda; Insecta; Hemiptera; Cicadellidae. The record is from RNAcentral.
AACAAAGAAGUAAAUAUUACAUUUAGUUUCGACCUAAAAUUAGAAAUAAAAUUUCCAUGUUU